CCAGCUGUAAACUCUGGGUACUAGGUGUGGGGGGCUUCGAUGCCCUCUGUGCCGUAGUUAACGCAUUAAGUACCCCGCCUGGGGAGUACGAUCGCAAGGUUGAAACUCAAAGGAAUUGACGGGGGCCCGCACAAGCAGUGGAGUAUGUGGUUUAAUUCGAAGCAACGCGAAGAACCUUACCAGGGCUUGACAUCCUCGGACGACACUAGAGAUAGUGUUUUCUCUUCGGAGACUGAGAGACAGGUGG
This 247-nucleotide ribosomal RNA is filed under the name uncultured Clostridia bacterium. RNAcentral describes it as "partial 16S ribosomal RNA". It matches the Rfam family "Bacterial small subunit ribosomal RNA", at positions 796 to 1041 of the family's 1533-position model. Lineage: Bacteria; Bacillati; Bacillota; Clostridia. The record is from RNAcentral.